UAAGGCUCCCAGUAGACGACUGGGUUGAUAGGCCAGAUGUGGAAGCCCGGUAACGGGUGAAGCUGACUGGUACUAAUAGGCCGAGGGCUUGUCCUC
This 96-nucleotide ribosomal RNA is filed under the name Streptomyces antarcticus. RNAcentral describes it as "partial 23S ribosomal RNA". It matches the Rfam family "Bacterial large subunit ribosomal RNA", at positions 2828 to 2925 of the family's 2925-position model. Lineage: Bacteria; Bacillati; Actinomycetota; Actinomycetes; Kitasatosporales; Streptomycetaceae. The record is from RNAcentral. RNAcentral also lists the same sequence under 1 other name.